Molecule: ribosomal RNA, 253 nt
Filed under: uncultured bacterium
Lineage: Bacteria
Description: partial 16S ribosomal RNA
Rfam family: Bacterial small subunit ribosomal RNA
Source: RNAcentral
UACAGAGGGUGCGAGCGUUAAUCGGAAUUACUGGGCGUAAAGGGCGCGUAGGCGGCUUUGCAAGUGACGGGUGAAAUCCCUCGGCUUAACCGAGGAACUGCCUGUCAAACUGCAUGGCUUGAGACCGGGAGAGGUGAGUGGAAUUCCCAGUGUAGCGGUGAAAUGCGUAGAUAUUGGGAGGAACACCAGUGGCGAAGGCGGCUCACUGGACCGAGACUGACGCUGAGGCGCGAAAGCGUGGGGAGCAAACAGG